Molecule: small RNA, 571 nt
Filed under: Pongo abelii (Sumatran orangutan)
Lineage: Eukaryota; Metazoa; Chordata; Mammalia; Primates; Hominidae
Description: retained intron
Source: RNAcentral
AAGUCUGGUUCCCGAGCAAGGUGUGGGGAUGAGGGGCUGCGACCACUGGGGCUACCUACCCUUAUGGCCAGUUUCUUGACUCUACUCUAGGUGGGCUCCAUCCCUGCCAAUGCUGCCGACGACGGACAGUGGUCACAGGGGCUGAUUUCUGCUGCCCGGAUGGUGGCGGCUGCGACCAGCAGUCUCUGUGAGGCGGCCAAUGCCUCCGUUCAGGGACAUGCCAGCGAGGAGAAGCUCAUCUCAUCUGCCAAGCAGGUCGCCGCUUCCACGGCUCAGCUGCUGGUGGCCUGCAAGGUGAAGGCCGACCAGGAUUCAGAGGCCAUGAGGCGGCUACAGGCGGCAGGAAAUGCUGUGAAAAGAGCCUCAGACAAUCUUGUCCGUGCAGCCCAGAAGGCAGCAUUUGGCAAAGCUGAUGAUGACGAUGUUGUAGUGAAAACCAAGUUUGUGGGGGGCAUUGCUCAGAUCAUCGCCGCCCAGGAGGAAAUGCUAAAGAAAGAGCGAGAACUGGAAGAAGCAAGGAAAAAACUGGCCCAGAUCCGCCAGCAGCAGUAUAAGUUUUUACCCACCGAGC